CACAAUAUCUAUAUUCACAUGGAAGGAGUAUUGUCUUUUCAAUUUCAAUCACAUCAUGCAUUCAGGCAUUUAAGCACUCACAUAUUACUCCCACAAUGAGCGUUUAACCGAUAACCAUAAGGCUGCAUCAUUUCCAUCUGUAUCUGAACUUGUGAAAAAGUUCAUAUCAUACCAAUUGUGUUCAAGACUUGCAGACAGUAAAACUACAUCUAUCAUUCAAAUAGUUCAUCAAUCAAACUGAUUUGUAACGAAAGUGAUCAGAUUUUGGCUGUCAUAACCACAACAGUUCAAUAGAAAGGAUAAUAAUUAACCACACAGGAACAACAAUAAGCACAUAAGUUCACCAAAAAUUCCAAAAUUCUUAACAAUAUCACAAACAAAACAGCACAAGAAAUCAUCAUCUAAUCACACCCAUUUUAACUCUAAACCCCAAGAAUCAUAUCCCCGCUCUGAUACCAUUUGUAACACCCUGACCCAGAUUAACAGAAACAGAAUAACCCAAAAAUAGGGUCUCCAGAACAUAUAUAUUGUACCAAUUAGAUCUUACCAUUAUGCAAGCCUAAAUAAGCAAUUGUCUAUCUAUGUCGAACUCAGCCAACAAAUCCCCAUCAAAGUGAUCAAGAGAACUGAUCGACGAGCCUCCCUCCCAACAGCUAAAGAUCGAUUAGUGGAGGAAGUCGGUGUGAGAGGUAAACUCGAGGGCGAUGUCGGGGUCGAUGUUCUCUCUCUCUCUUUCUUCCCUUCCUCCGUGUACCAUGACACGACCCACCCCGAAUUUCACCCUGAAACCCAGAGUAAGUCGUGCGGGGACCACCUCCAAGGAAAAUUUACUGAAAAGAUUAAGCAAAUCUCCCUUGCAGAUGGACAACCCUAAGUCGAAAAUUUCAUAUUACACUUCUGAACUUUACAUAAUAUACAAAAAUUCUAAAGUAUUCAGAGCUACUAAACACAAGCGGAAGCAAGAAAACACAAGUAGGUUGAACAGGUAACCUACUGAUGAAAACUGGCCGAAAAGCGGGUGACUAUGCCUCGUCUCCUACUAGAUCCAACCCGAACUCUGCAGACUGGGCAAUUUAAAACGAGGGCCCAGGGGAAAACAUUUAAUAACGUUAGAGUGAGUGGACAAAAAUAAAUAAUAAAUAAAAUAUUAUNNNNNNNNNNNNNNNNNNNNAAACUUUUUCAGACAAUAAGUCUCACAAUAGUAAAUACUAACCUUGAACUUAAUCAGGCUAUAGCAUCAUGAACUAUUUUAAAGGCUAAAACUGAAGGUGGUGCUUGUAGAUACCAGAGUAUUUUACCUGCACAUUACGCUCACCCAAGAGUAUUGCAUUUAGGCUUCCAUUGAUGUUCAGUUAACCCUUACAGCUACACACAGCAUAUGCAGUUGCAUAUAUAUAUGUAAGUGGAUAUAAAGAUAACAGAAUAACAUAUGAUACCAUGGUUCAGGGCAUGGACUAAAAGAAUUUGAUUUUCAAAUGUCAUGCAUAAAAACAAUCUGUCAAGGAAAGGAAUUCAACAUCCAGAUUUAUUACCCUCAAGAAACUUCCAGUCUGAUAACAAUAUCUGUAACACAGUGCCCGUAUUCCUUAAUCAAAACAAAAUCAAUUGAAUCCUUAUUAAUACAUGUUGCAUAUCAUCAGUUUCAUGUAGGUCCACAAAACUUAAAUGUACCAAGGCCUGAAAUACUCAUCAUGAAAUGAGUAUGGAAGUAGAAAAGAAUAUCCCAGUGUUCAUAUAAAAACUAAAUACCGAGCUAGUGUUUCCAAUCUUGGAAAUCAAACUGAACAACAUCUCAAGGAGCAGUAAAUUACUCCUUUACCAGAACAGAAACCAUAUAUGAUACGUAAAAUUAUAACCAUGAAACCAGAGUAAGAAUAAUACAAAUGCUUCAUCCAAAACCAAACAGGGAAUAAGUGUUCACUAGGUAAUAUGCAGUGAUACAAUACUUAAAAUAUCAAUACACUAAUCAAUUUCUUAAGCUCUUAUUUGAAUUGAAAUCAAAAGCAAUAUGUCAUUGGUUAGGAAGCAUCAGGCACAAAGUUCUUUAGUCUAAGGACAUCAUGGUCUUAAGUCAAAGAAAUUAAAACCUCAUGGAUAUGCGAUUCACAUUAUCACAUUAUCGUGCCAUUAAAGGGUAAAGCAUCACAAUCAAAAACUAAGUAGGCAAAAUAUUCCAGAAAUUUUUUUUUUUGUUUCUGAUAAAACAGUGCAACAGAGCACUCAUCACAGAAAGGAUAAAAGAAAGAGACCCACAAUAACAAGAGAAAUAUCAAACCAGAAAACAACAGUCCCACUUUACCCAAGAUUAUAAUCCAAGCACAAUAUCUAUAUUCAUAUGGAAGGAGUAUUGCCUUUUCAAUUUCAAUCACAUCAUCCAUUCAGGCAUUUAAGCACUCACAUAUUACUCCCACAAUAAGCGUCACUACCAGGACAAGCACUUUAGCCGACGAAAAUUUUUCGUCGGCCUGUCAGCUUAAUUCGUCGGCUAAGAUCUUAGCCGACGACCUUUCGUCGGCUAAGAUUUCGUCGGGAAAAGCUCGUCUGUGGUGACUUUAGCCGACGACACUACGUAUAAGUCGUCGGUUAUCUNNNNNNNNNNNNNNNNNNNNUCACCGGUCCAGGGACGUUGCUGGGUUGGAGGUCGUUCGAUUGGGACCGGUGCGGCGGCGGUUGGUGGCCGGACGGCGGCGGGAGGACGGCCGGAAGUCUGCUGGGUGUAAAGAGAAGAAAAACGGGUGGGAGGAGAGAGAAUCGGGAGAGAGGGAGAAGAGAAAAGAAGAAGAAAUGGGUUGGGCUCGGCCCAGCCGACCCAACAAUCCUUUUAACUCAAAAUUCCAAAAUUCAACACCCCGAAAAAUAAUACCCGAAUAAAAAUUACCUUUUACUAGCUAAAAUUUACCAUUUUUACCGUCGUCGUAUUUUCCUCAUACGAAUUAUCCUCCGCUCAUAAUCGUCCCCGAAACCCCUCUAGGGACCAAUUAAACUAUUUACUCAAUGAUCGGGACGGUAAAAUUCUUAUUAUAAUCACGCUAGUAAAUAAGGUAAAAAUAUAAGGGUCGGGAUGUGACAUACCAUGACCGUGUACCAGGACCGUGAGAGAUCUUAGAUCCUUGAGAAAAUAAAAAGAUAGAGUCCGAGUCAAAGUCGGUGCCCCCUUCUUCUCGACCCUUCUUCCCAACUCUAGACAAUUUUUAUUUAUAUUUAUUUUUUUAUUAUUAUUAUUUAUUUACCA
Molecule: long non-coding RNA, 3232 nt
Filed under: Fragaria vesca (wild strawberry)
Lineage: Eukaryota; Viridiplantae; Streptophyta; Magnoliopsida; Rosales; Rosaceae
Description: long non-coding RNA (FVES_LNC005409)
Source: RNAcentral